ACACAGGGCACAAAUGCAUUUCUGGAAACAGUCGUGUCUGGGAGCUGACAAGCACGACUCUGCUGCCAUGCCAACCAGCAGCGAGAGCAAUCCCUCUUCAAUAUGCUUCUCCUCCAGUGGAUUUGGAUCCUCCAGGCCAAAGUUCUUGUCAAAUGUGAGCUGGAUCCUCAUGUUGUCGGCCGCCACCAGUCUCCAGACCAGCAUGGUAUCCCUGGGAUAAGUGUGUGGGAAGUCUGGGCUGUGGAUCAUUCCCUCUCCAGACACAGAGUCUAAUACACGAGAUGAUCAGGAGAACCAGGAGGAGGUUAAUGGGCUCAAGCGAGGGACUGUCCUCCUGGACAUUUGACAGCAUAAUAAAUGGAUGACUAACCUUUUCC
This is a long non-coding RNA of Poeciliopsis prolifica (blackstripe livebearer), 377 nucleotides long. RefSeq lists it as uncharacterized. The record is from RefSeq and is a predicted model, not a curated record. The transcript has 3 exons. Lineage: Eukaryota; Metazoa; Chordata; Actinopteri; Cyprinodontiformes; Poeciliidae.